AUUGAACGCUGGCGGCAGGCCUAACACAUGCAAGUCGAACGGUAACAGGAAACAGCUUGCUGUUUCGCUGACGAGUGGCGGACGGGUGAGUAACGUCUGGGAAACUGCCUGAUGGAGGGGGAUAACUACUGGAAACGGUAGCUAAUACCGCAUAACGUCGCAAGACCAAAGAGGGGGACCUUCGGGCCUCUUGCCAUCGGAUGUGCCCAGAUGGGAUUAGCUAGUAGGUGGGGUAACGGCUCACCUAGGCGACGAUCCCUAGCUGGUCUGAGAGGAUGACCAGCCACACUGGAACUGAGACACGGUCCAGACUCCUACGGGAGGCAGCAGUGGGGAAUAUUGCACAAUGGGCGCAAGCCUGAUGCAGCCAUGUCGCGUGUAUGAAGAAGGCCUUCGGGUUGUAAAGUACUUUCAGCGGGGAGGAAGGGAGUAAAGUUAAUACCUUUGCUCAUUGACGUUACCCGCAGAAGAAGCACCGGCUAACUCCGUGCCAGCCGCCGCCGUAA
RNAcentral lists this ribosomal RNA (506 nucleotides) under uncultured bacterium. Its description in RNAcentral is "partial 16S ribosomal RNA". It matches the Rfam family "Bacterial small subunit ribosomal RNA", at positions 30 to 523 of the family's 1533-position model. The record is from RNAcentral.